CGGCAGGCUUAACACAUGCAAGUCGAGCGGAAACGAUGGUAGCUUGCUACCAGGCGUCSMYCGGCGGACGGGUGAGUAAUACUUAGGAAUCUACCUAGUAGUGGGGGAUAGCUCGGGGAAACUCGAAUUAAUACCGCAUACGACCUACGGGAGAAAGGGGGCAGUUUACUGCUCUCGCUAUUAGAUGAGCCUAAGUCGGAUUAGCUAGAUGGUGGGGUAAAGGCCUACCAUGGCGACGAUCUGUAGCUGGUCUGAGAGGAUGAUCAGCCACACCGGGACUGAGACACGGCCCGGACUCCUACGGGAGGCAGCAGUGGGGAAUAUUGGACAAUGGGGGAAACCCUGAUCCAGCCAUGCCGCGUGUGUGAAGAAGGCCUUUUGGUUGUAAAGCACUUUAAGCAGUGAAGAAGACUCCGUGGUUAAUACCCACGGACGAUGACAUUAGCUGCMGAAUAAGCACCGGCUAACUCUGUGCCAGCAGCCGCGGUAAUACAGAGGGUGCAAGCGUUAAUCGGAAUUACUGGGCGUAAAGGGAGCGUAGGUGGCUCGAUAAGUCAGAUGUGAAAUCCCCGGGCUCAACCUGGGAACUGCAUCUGAUACUGUUGAGCUAGAGUAUGUGAGAGGAAGGUAGAAUUCCAGGUGUAGCGGYGAAAUGCGGUAGAGAUCCUGGAGGAAUACCGAUUGGUGAA
This 689-nucleotide ribosomal RNA is filed under the name Psychrobacter sp. RNAcentral describes it as "bacterial SSU rRNA". It matches the Rfam family "Bacterial small subunit ribosomal RNA", at positions 40 to 719 of the family's 1533-position model. Lineage: Bacteria; Pseudomonadati; Pseudomonadota; Gammaproteobacteria; Moraxellales; Moraxellaceae. The record is from RNAcentral.